CCCUUAGAUGUUCUGGGCCGCACGCGUGCUACACUGAGUGGAUCAGCGGGUCAGGUUGCGCGAAAGCGUUUCCUAAUCUUUAAAUCCGCUCGUGAUGGGGAUUGACGGUUGCAAUUUUCUGUCAUGAACGAGGAAUACCUUGUAAGCGCGGGUCAUCAUCCCGCGCUGAAUACGUCUCUGCCCUUUGUACACACCGCCCGUCGCUCCUACCGAUUGAGUGGUCCGGUGAGGCUUUGGGAUCUGAGCGGAAAGAGCGUUUCGCUGUUUCUGCUCGGAAAACUCAGUCGAACCUUAUCAUUUAGAGGAAGGAGAAGUCGUAACA
RNAcentral lists this ribosomal RNA (322 nucleotides) under uncultured eukaryote. RNAcentral describes it as "partial 18S ribosomal RNA". It matches the Rfam family "Eukaryotic small subunit ribosomal RNA", at positions 1470 to 1796 of the family's 1831-position model. The record is from RNAcentral.